GGAAAGUGUGUCUAGGGUUCCGCGUGCUUCGGCACGGACUGGUCCAAGUGACACAGACGCAUUCGUGCGUUACACCGGAGGGAUAGAAGCCCAGGCGGG
This 99-nucleotide small RNA is filed under the name unclassified sequences. RNAcentral's name for it is "PRPP Riboswitch Guanidine-I sequence". It matches the Rfam family "Guanidine-I riboswitch aptamer". From Rfam's summary of the family: This family represents a conserved RNA structure found upstream of the ykkC and yxkD genes in Bacillus subtilis and related genes in other bacteria. The function of this family is unclear although it has been suggested that it may function to switch on efflux pumps and detoxification systems in response to harmful environmental molecules. The record is from RNAcentral.